AUGCGGUCAAUGCCGGCGUCUCCAUUGCCGCUCCUGGCCCCCUCUACCUUCUACCUCUUCGUCAUCUUCUUGCUGCCGCUGCUCUGCUGCCCGCUCGCGGCCAAUGGAGGAGGGGCUCCGCCGCCCAUGGCUUCCUCUCCGGCGGCUGCGGCCGCGUCCACGGCCGUCGGCGACCUCGCCUCCUCGAACGGCAGCGUCGCUGCGCCUCCGGCAGCCGCGGCGCCUGCUCCCUUUGUGCUCACAGUGGAAGCGGAGGAAACGCACCACCAUUUGCGCAGGCAGAUUAUCAUCGCCGUCGUCCUCGCCUCCAUCGCCGGUGUGAUGAUCGUCCUCGCCGUGCUUUUUGCCUGCAUCGCGUGGCGGCGAUAUCGCGGAGCUCCAGACGACUUCAAGGACACCCAAAGCACAGAUACCCAAAGGAUAGCAUUGGUGCCAAUCUUGAACAGGUUCAACUCAUUCAAGGCUACUACCAAGAAGGGCCUUGUGGCGAUGAUGGAGUACGCGUCGCUGGAGGCGGCGACGGGCAAUUUCAGUGAGAGCAAUGUGCUCGGGGUCGGUGGAUUCGGGUGUGUGUAUAAGGCCAAUUUUGAUGGAGGGUUUGUCGCCGCGGUGAAGAGGCUGGGGUGCGAGGGACAGGAGUAUGAGAAAGAAUUUGAGAAUGAGCUGGAUUUGCUUCAGAGGAUUCAGCAUUCGAAUAUAGUGUCCCUUGUGGGCUUUUGCAUUCAUCAGGAGAACCGCUUCAUUGUUUAUGAGCUGAUGGUGAAUGGAUCACUGGAAACACAACUUCAUGGACCAUCACAUGGAUCAGCUCUAAGCUGGCACAUUCGGAUGAAGAUUGCUCUGGAUACAGCAAGGGGAUUGGAGUAUCUUCACGAACACUGCAACCCACCAAUCAUCCAUAGGGAUCUGAAGUCGUCUAACAUACUUUUGGAUUCAGAUUUUAAUGCAAAGAUUUCAGAUUUUGGCCUUGCAGUGACAAGUGGAAAUCGCAGCAAAGGGAAUCUGAAGCUUUCCGGUACUUUGGGCUAUGUUGCCCCUGAGUACUUACUAGAUGGGAAGUUGACUGAGAAGAGCGAUGUAUAUGCAUUUGGAGUAGUACUUCUUGAGCUUCUAUUGGGAAGGAGGCCAGUUGAGAAGAUGGCACCAUCUCAGUGCCAGUCAAUUGUUACAUGGGCCAUGCCCCAGCUAAUUGACAGAUCCAAGCUCCCUACCAUAAUCGACCCCGUGAUCAGGGACACGAUGGAUCGGAAGCACUUGUACCAAGUUGCUGCAGUGGCUGUGCUCUGCGUGCAGCCAGAACCAAGCUACAGGCCACUGAUCACAGAUGUCCUCCACUCUCUGAUUCCCCUGGUGCCCAUGGACCUUGGAGGGUCGCUGAGGAUCAACCCGGAGUCGCCUUGCGGGGCACGAAACCAAUCUCCGUGCUGA
Molecule: ribosomal RNA, 1428 nt
Filed under: Triticum aestivum (bread wheat)
Lineage: Eukaryota; Viridiplantae; Streptophyta; Magnoliopsida; Poales; Poaceae
Description: partial small subunit ribosomal RNA
Source: RNAcentral